Long non-coding RNA from Daucus carota subsp. sativus, 1762 nucleotides. RefSeq lists it as uncharacterized. The transcript has 3 exons. The record is from RefSeq and is a predicted model, not a curated record. Lineage: Eukaryota; Viridiplantae; Streptophyta; Magnoliopsida; Apiales; Apiaceae.
AAUGGGUGCAGGUACAUACUACAUGUCUGUUGAACAAUAUUCAGAUUUUAAAUUAUGCUUUAAAAAUCUUGACCGACGCAUAUAUCAUGGACCUGGAUCCGGAAAAAGGUAUCAAUAUGUAAAACAUAUCUUGCUGUGUGUUUUCGAGGUUACCAACAGACUAGCGGCCGUGUGGUGAUUGAUGUUUAGAGAUUAUAAAGAACUUGGAUGUUGAUUCUUUCUUCUUUUUGGAAAGAGACGAGUGUGGUGGUUCGCCGGAGUUUCUGGUGAUUCGCCGGAUUGAAUGUCGUGUGACGAGUUGAACCUGUGGGAAGGAAUUGUUCUGAGUUUUAUGAGUUGAAACGAGUUGAGGAACUCGCUGUGUUGACUCGUCAGAAAUGUGGUCUGCGCCAACUGUUUGGUUUAAUGACCGACAGAUUUUGUCACCGGAAAUGAUGAUUACAGCAGAAUAAACGCCGAGUGCCUUAAGUAGUGGAUGCUAACAAGAUUGAGAAACUCACUCCCGAACAGAUGCUGUUCCAAGCUGCCCUGAGGCAUAAACUCGUAUACAAGAAGUCGAUGCUUAUCUUCUAAGCAGUACCCAAUCAUAUUAACAAGGUUAGGGUGACAGAGAUAUUCCAGAACUCUUAUUUCUGCCUGUAGUCAAAAAUGUCGCAAAGAGUAAAGAGUUAUAUAGCAAACUUUGUUGAAUAAAAUAUUGUAUAUUAUAAUUUGAUAAUAUUAAUGGAUUGUUAUUAUAUUAUUAUUUUAAUCGGAUUCUAUUACUUGUAAUUCUAUUUAGAUAUUAAAAUCCCAUGCCUAUUCUGUUAUACUGCUUUAUACCAUUACUUUAUACUGAUUUAUACAAUUUAUAAAUAUAAAAAUUAGACAAUUUAUACAUAUAAAGAUAUUACUUAAUACUAUUUUAUACAAUUUUCUUAGUCUCUAUGUUCAACUCAAUGUAAAGAAUUCACCGUGACUGAGGGGGUAUGAUACUACGAUAGAGAAUACUGUGCCGGGAAAAUUUUUCAAGGUACGAGCGGAAGGUAUGCUGCUAUCAUUUUCCCGUGACCAUCUUCUUAUAAGUAAUUAUGUGUGUGUGUGUGUGGAUAAUCCUAGUAAAUACCAAUGUUUGUUUUAGAUGGGACGGUAAAUUAAAAAAUCAAAUAAUGAUAUAGAUAGAUGAUAUAGAUCUAAAUUUGAAACCCUUCUCCUAAAAUAUUGAAUUUUUAGAUGACUCAGAAAAUCUAAGUUAUUGAAAGAAAUUUUGAUUAAAUUAAGUUAUUUGAAGAAAUUAUAAGAGACAAACGAAACUCUUAACAUUUGGAAAAAAAAAAAAAAAACUUUGGGCACUUACCAACCACUCCUGGGCACCCUGGGUACUUUCUCGAUGUAAUCUCUUUACUGCAAUGAGCAGGCCAGAACCCCAUUCUGCCGCGGCAAAUGUGUUCGUAUCAACCCAGCCCUUAUAAACAGAACCAAAACCACCUUCCCCUAAUUUACUGUCAGAAUGGAAGUGCCUGGUAGCUACACUAAGCACAUUAAAUGAGAAACUCCGCAACCUCGAUGACUGCAGAACUUUUUCCUCGUCCCAAGCUUUUGGUUUCAUCGACUCAAGGCCAACUACAACCUCAGCCAUAGUAGGACGAUGCUUGGGUUGAGGAUGCAAACACUUGAUAGCAACUCCCACAUACGCGUUUAAGGAAUCAUUGGAAAUGUCCCCCUUGAUAUUCAGAUCAAUUAUCUGACCUAGGAGUCCUUCUUUAUAGCAGUCUUGCGCCCA